Molecule: ribosomal RNA, 487 nt
Filed under: uncultured bacterium
Lineage: Bacteria
Description: bacterial SSU rRNA
Rfam family: Bacterial small subunit ribosomal RNA
Source: RNAcentral
GAUGAACGCUAGCGGCAGGCUUAAUACAUGCAAGUCGUGGGGCAGCAUGAGUAGCAAUACUUGAUGGCGACCGGCAAACGGGUGCGGAACACGUACACAACCUUCCUACAAGUGGGGAAUAGCCCAGAGAAAUUUGGAUUAAUACCCCGUAACAUAACGAUGUGGCAUCACAUUGUUAUUAUAGCUUCGGCGCUUCUUGAUGGGUGUGCGGCUGAUUAGAUAGUUGGCGGGUAACGGCCCACCAAGUCUACGAUCAGUAGCUGAUGUGAGAGCAUGAUCAGCCACACGGGCACUGAGACACGGGCCCGACUCCUACGGGAGGCAGCAGUAAGGAAUAUUGGUCAAUGGACGCAAGUCUGAACCAGCCAUGCCGCGUGAAGGAUUAAGGUCCUCUGGAUUGUAAACCUCUUUAUCUGGGACGAAAAAGGCGAUUCUUCGUCACUUGACGGUACCAGAUGAAUAAGCACCGGCUAACUCCGUGCCAGCA